CAGGAUUCACCCAGCAAGGUCUGAUUCCUACAGCUCAGCUGUGUAGGAGCAACUACACCUCCUCACCCCCCUGCCCCCAGGCUCCAGGCUGAUAUUUAUUACCUCCCCUAACAGAGCGAGCUGCCUCCGUGCACAGCAGCAGCGCGCAGGGCCAUUCAUCUGCAGCUCAGCCACAGCAGGCACAACCUUUCCACUGAAUCCUAUCUCACAGCCCCGGCCAGGUGGAUUUCAUGUGUAUCCAAUCAGUUUUUUCUCCUUUGCCAAAUAACUUCAGAAUACCCAGCUGGCACAAAGAGCUAAUCUGCAAACAGCUGUUUCUGUGCACGUAUAAAGCUUGGGUAUGAGUUGUAGCAUGCUACGCUGGUUUUCAGCUAAGUUUUUUCAGCUGUUUAGGGACAGAAAGGAGCUAUUCUGACCGUCCAGCACAAGCCUCCUGAAGAGCCCAGCUGCUUCUCUGGGAGGAAGCCCCUCUGUUUGGGGAUGUUGGUUUGUGCUGACUGCAAGAGCCUGGAUAACUCAAUUCAUGGAACGAGUGUAAGAUGGGACGACACUUCAUUUCCAGCCUGCCUCUGAAUGAUUGUGUGGCCUAACACAAUCAGUUGGGCUGCCCGUGCAUAAUCUAUCAGAUGCGUCAGAGCGUUGCCAGUCAUCCCAGGUAUCUGUACAAACUCUGCUCUGCUGGGAAGCAGGCAGAAGAGCAGGGCUGCAGGACUGAAAUCGUGGUGGAACUGCAGCGUGCCCGCACCAGAUACAGACCAAGGCUUCAGAAUGCAGGUGAAGAGUCCUCGUACAAAUGUCUAGUGACUGCUCACACCUGAAUGGGAAGGGAGCAUCAUUCUGCGAAUAUGAACAGUACCGUACUGGCUUCUCUUCAUGCUACCACAAUCAAGACAACAAAUAAUUUGCAACUCCCAAUGGCUCACAAAUCAAGACAUAAACCUCCCUCACAUCAAGCAUUUGGCCUACAAAUCAUCACAGAGUAAACUGAGAAGUUCUUUCAAUUCUAGUUAAGAAGAAAGUUUCUUCAUACUGCUUUUAUUUUCAUUUUCAUUUGAGUCUGACUUAUCCUCUCCCUCUAGGCUUUAUUUUUUUUUUAAUGCAGUGGUCCAGUGGAUGCUCUUUCGUGGUUUCUAUGUGCCCUUCAAUAUUUUCCUCUUACACUUGAACCUCAGUCCAUUGGCUACCUUGAGCCCUGACCCAGUUUUGUACAGCACGGCGCACAGAACCCUUAUUCCUCAGUGACCACCACGGACUUGAACAGAGCCCUGCACACUGUUUACAUCGCAGCUAUGAGUCUCUCGGUACUAGUCUGCCAUACAGAAUGAAAGGAAGGGGUUAAGUUUUCUUGUUAGUUCUGAAAAAUAGGGUGCCAGUGUGAGCCAAAAUUAAAGUGAGAAAGAACCAGAACGCAGUUGUUUAGGACAUACAUUUUCUAUAGAUCUCCCAUUGCCUUUUCCCUUCAAAAUCCCACUUGGUUUCUAACAUAUAUUACAGUUGUUAUACCAUUACAUAGAAUUCUAAUUAAGAACAUUCAAGUAACAUCAUAAAAUCUGCUACACCAGAAACCACGAUUCUCCCUGUAAAUAUGUGCCUCUUAGCGCUACAAUAAUCCAUGCAAAAAAAGAAAAAAUGCCAGACCCUAAUCAGCCCACUGCAGGGAUAGGUCAUGAACACAUUUAUCUUUCCUCUCACAAGCCUCCCCUGGAUAAAGGAAAUGCCCUAAUACUCAAGGCAUCUUGGACACCAGAUGGCUGAUUAUUAGACAUUUUAUGAAGAGGAAGGAAGUAAAGAGAAACAGCCUGAAUUUUCAUGGUACUGUAGGGACAGUGGAAAGGAAGGCAGAAUGAGGACCUCAUCCAAAACACACUGACUGGGAGGACACUGAUUUCAAAGGACUUUGAAUCAGAAAGAACGAACAUCUGCAUUUGUUUUUCCUUCUGCAGAUUAAUCCUCAGCUCACCAAGGGCUAGAAUAAUUGAUAGGUGGAUAUAAUGUCCUUUCUAUUAUCAUCACUGUAAUGACUUGUAGCUGAACCAUUUUUAAUUUCCAGGGGACAGGUUUGUGUUUUUAAAUAUUCACAAUAAUGUUAUAAGCUUUCUUUAGACUAUGCACAGGUUUUUCGUAGACCUAGUCUCCAAGAGCCUGCCUCAGGGAGCAGAAGCAUGCUGCGAGGCCAGGAGGAGCCCUAGGACACACAGGCGGUGCUUGCAGAAUUCUGCAUUCCAGAAGAAAGGACUCAAUAGGCAAUGCCUACUGGAUGCAUUUGGGCUCAUCCUCUACUAAUGCGAGUCAAUCUAAUCUGUUUUACCCUGGCUGAAGUAACUGAUGAGGUAGGUAAAUUAUGCCAUGCCUUCAGCUACACACACAGCACUAUAGGUUAAAAUAAGGAAAAUAUACUGUAAUCAUAGAUAUUUACCAGAAUAUUGAGAGUAUCCAAAAGAGACUAGAAUGAAUAUAUGUGAAUACAUAUCACUUGUGCAAGAAGAGUCAUUCUUCCCUAGUCGAACUUUUAGAAAACUCUGAA
Long non-coding RNA from Cygnus olor (mute swan), 2524 nucleotides. RefSeq lists it as uncharacterized. The transcript has 4 exons. Lineage: Eukaryota; Metazoa; Chordata; Aves; Anseriformes; Anatidae. The record is from RefSeq and is a predicted model, not a curated record.